This 547-nucleotide ribosomal RNA is filed under the name Tumebacillus ginsengisoli. Its description in RNAcentral is "bacterial SSU rRNA". It matches the Rfam family "Bacterial small subunit ribosomal RNA", at positions 366 to 905 of the family's 1533-position model. Lineage: Bacteria; Bacillati; Bacillota; Bacilli; Caryophanales; Alicyclobacillaceae. The record is from RNAcentral.
UCGUCAUGGGCGCAGCCUGACGGAGCAACGCCGCGUGAGUGAUGAAGGCCUUCGGGUUGUAAAACUCUGUCUUCUGUGAAGAACAAGCCUGUGAAUGGAAAGCUCAGGCCCUGACGGUAACAGAGGAGGAAGCCCCGGCUAACUACGUGCCAGCAGCCGCGGUAAUACGUAGGGGGCAAGCGUUGUCCGGAUUUACUGGGCGUAAAGCGCGCGCAGGCGGUCAUCUGCGUCCGGGGUGAAAACCCAGAGCUCAACUCUGGGACUGCCUUGGAUACGGGGUGACUUGAGGAUCGGAGAGGCAAGGGGAAUUCCACGUGUAGCGGUGAAAUGCGUAGAGAUGUGGAGGAACACCUGUGGCGAAGGCGCCUUGCUGGCCGAUUUCUGACGCUGAGGCGCGAAAGCGUGGGGAGCAAACAGGAUUAGAUACCCUGGUAGUCCACGCCGUAAACGAUGAGUGCUAGGUGUUGGGGGGUACCACCCUCAGUGCCGAAGCUAACGCAUUAAGCACUCCGCCUGGGGAGUACGGGUCGCAAGACUGAAACUCAAA